GAUCAUGGCUCAGGAUGAACGCUGGCGGCGUGCCUAACACAUGCAAGUCGAACGGACUUUUCAUGAAGCCUAGCGAUUGAAAAGUUAGUGGCGGACGGGUGAGUAACGCGUGGGUAACCUGCCUUGUACUGGGGGACAACAGUUGGAAACGGCUGCUAAUACCGCAUAAGCGCACAGCUUCGCAUGAAGCGGUGUGAAAAACUCCGGUGGUACAAGAUGGACCCGCGUCUGAUUAG
Molecule: ribosomal RNA, 236 nt
Filed under: uncultured bacterium
Lineage: Bacteria
Description: partial 16S ribosomal RNA
Rfam family: Bacterial small subunit ribosomal RNA
Source: RNAcentral